This 312-nucleotide ribosomal RNA is filed under the name uncultured eukaryote. RNAcentral's name for it is "partial 18S ribosomal RNA". It matches the Rfam family "Eukaryotic small subunit ribosomal RNA", at positions 1470 to 1796 of the family's 1831-position model. The record is from RNAcentral.
CCCUUAGAUGUUCUGGGCCGCACGCGCGCUACACUGACGAAUGCAACGAGCUUAUAACCUUGGCCGAAAGGUCUGGGUAAUCUCCAAAUUUCGUCGUGAUGGGGAUAGAUUAUUGCAAUUAUUAAUCUUCAACGAGGAAUGCCUAGUAAGCGCAAGUCAUCAGCUUGCGUUGAUUACGUCCCUGCCCUUUGUACACACCGCCCGUCGCUCCUACCGAUGAAUCGUCCGGUGAAGUUCAUGGAGUCGCGGCUGCUCCAGCUGUUUUCGAAGUGAAAUGGACCUCAUGAUUUAGAGGAAGGAGAAGUCGUAACA